RNAcentral lists this ribosomal RNA (497 nucleotides) under uncultured bacterium. RNAcentral describes it as "partial 16S ribosomal RNA". It matches the Rfam family "Bacterial small subunit ribosomal RNA", at positions 28 to 507 of the family's 1533-position model. The record is from RNAcentral.
GAUGAACGCUGGCGGUGUGCCUAAUACAUGCAAGUCGAGCGAACAGACGAGGAGCUUACUCCUCUGACGUUAGCGGCGGACGGGUGAGUAACACGUGGAUAACCUCCCUAUAAGACUGGGAUAACUUCGGGAAACCGGAGCUAAUACCGGAUAACAUGUUGAACCGCAUGGUUCAACAGUGAAAGACGGUCUUGCUGUCACUUAUAGAUGGAUCCGCGUCGCAUUAGCUGGUUGGUAAGGUAACGGCUUGUCAGGGGUACGAGGGGUGGACGAACUGAGAGAGGGAUAGGCGACACUGGAGGUGGAACGCGGUCCAGGCUCCUACGGGAGGCAGCAGUAGGGAAUGUUCCGCAAUGGGCGAAAGCCUGGCGGAGCAACGCCGCGUGAGUGAAGGAGAUCUUCGGAUCGUGAAACUCUGUUAUUAGGGAAGAACAGAUGUGUAAGUAACUGUACACGUCUUGACGGUACCUGAUCAGAAAGCCACGGCUAACUACGUG